This 2609-nucleotide long non-coding RNA is filed under the name Salmo salar (Atlantic salmon). RNAcentral's name for it is "lncRNA (ENSSSAG00000114967.1)". The record is from RNAcentral. Lineage: Eukaryota; Metazoa; Chordata; Actinopteri; Salmoniformes; Salmonidae.
UCUCCAAACUCUCGCGCAUGGGAGACAUUACUUCCGGGCAAAGCACAGGCAGCUGGCGUGACUGGACCAACAUGUAAAGUAGGUUUAGUUCUGUAGUGCUACACAUUCACCAACUCUGUUUGAAAAAAAUCCCAUGUUGGUAUAUUAUGGAAAUUUUAAACAAAGUAGAAUAGGCGUGACAUGCAGCAUUUUUUUUCCUUCUCACCUAACGAUAAACAUUUGCGUUUUGAUCCAGAAAUGUCUAUAGCCCAGUCAGCUGCCCGUGAUUUGCAUCACGUUCAUGCGCUCGAGUUUGGAGACGACCAGAAGGCGCCAAAACGUAUCUUUAGUUUGCAGGUGGACAAUGAAAUUAAACUGGACGUGGAUGCAGGUCAUGAAUUCAUAUCAGGAAGAUAUUGGGUAAGCUCAGGGGUGAAAGUAAGGCGUUACGGUUCGGUACGGCGUCUCUGCAAAAUAAAUAGUGGGGGUACGCUAUACCGUGUCAAGAAUGGUCCACCAUCCAAAGGACAUCGAGCCAACUUAACAACUGUGGGAAGCAUUGGAGUCAACAUGGGCCAGCAUCCCUGUGGAACGCUUUCAACACCUUGUAGAGUCCAUGUCCCGACGAAUUGAGGCUGUUCUGAGGGCAAAUGGGGUGCAACUGGGGAUCUGCAGCUCAGUGAUCCAUCACCCUCUCUAGCAUCUCACCCACCCUUUGCUGUCAAGCUGUAUUUGUGUGUUAGAACAGUACAGCGAGCGGACCAGUGUCGCUGGUUUAAAUCCCAAGUCUGAUGGGAAACUAAUCGAGUGGGAAUCUAGACUGACAAGAUACUGAGAUGUUGAAAGAGGACGUGGGUCCAUGCAUCCCAACUGUACAGGACAAUAACCCACCACACCUCCAGGCUGUGUAAGAGCUAUUUUACAAAGGAGAGUAAUGGAGUGCUGCAUCAGAUGACCUGGCCUCCACAGUCCCCGACUUCAACCAAAUUGAGAUGGUUUGGGGUGAGUCGGACAACAGAGUGAAGGAAAAGCAGCCAACAAGUGCUCAGCAUAUGUGGGAACUCCUUCAAGACUGUUGGAAAAGCAUUCCAGAGGCAGACUGUGGCGGCCCCCCUGCUCUGUUUGGACAAGUUUGCAGAGCCCAGGGCCCUUUCCGGGGAACACGUCUCAGCCAAAGAGACAAAUUUGCUUCCGCAUUGUCCCCUCCCCUUUUUUACCGUUUAACUGAAACCAGGGAGCGCAAGCGAACCUUACCGAUGUCAUCCAAUCACGGAGAUGUCCGCCCUCCUAGGAAACUACAGUUGACACUCCAGGACUCGACUUCCCAGAGCAUGGAAACGGCAUGCAAGAUGUAACACAAAUACUGUCCGAAGCUCCACCAAUGGGCUACUCUGCAGCUAGGAACAAAGGCAGAGAAGAGGUCACAACAGCUGGACAUAGAUUAUCUCGUAUGUCCAGCUGGAGGUCGGCUCCAUCCUCAAAGCCACUCUAACCCCGCCCUACUCUGUACUCUACUGCAUCUCCUGACACACCUGCUAGUGCCCCUGGCCUGACCCAUCCAUUAACCGUUUCAAGUAACUUUCACACACACACACACACACACACACACAAUGAGAGCCCAGGUGCUCCCUCACCUCCACCUAUACGUCUCAGAUGCUCUGCUUUAACUGCGAGGCGUCUGUCAGGGUUAUGGAUGCGUCUGUUCCAUCGUCUGUCUUCCUGAUCCUCACACUUACCCUCCUCAGAGGCCUGACUGAUGGCUGCCCUGACCACUGGCCUGCAGGGCUCUGAGGAGCCACCGUGCGUGAGUGUGUGUGUCUGUGUGUGCGCGUGCGGCUGCAGAAGAGACGUUUGGGGAAAGUUCAGGUGAGAUGAUGAUGAUAUGAAAAUAAACUUGAUUUGAAUACUCAGUCAAAUGUGCUGCAGAGCCCUCUCUCUCUAGCGGUAUGAGAGAGGGAGAUGGAGAAGGUGACCUGUUAAUUAAGUCAACCUUAGUCUCAACGCAAUGUUCUGCAUUUGUUAACAGCUGAUUCUGUGUAGUGUAAUAAAGUUCUCUACACCACUAUCUAUUUUGAAUGAUAGUGAGUUCCAUAGAAUUUCGUUGUGUUUUAGUUUCUGUGAAAAUUGAAUUAGAUUGGAAUUCUAUGAUGUAUUUUACUGGGAAAGAAUGGAGUCAUGUGGAAGACCUGAUAGUUCUAUCCAUUAACCUCCCGUCUGUUAAAUUAUGUGGUAGUAAUGUAGCAGAAUUUUAAUGUGACUGAAAUAUGCCCAGAGAUAUGACUUUUUCAUGGUUUCCACUGGCUACUCUUGCAUAUUUGAUACUGUACAUAAAUUAGACUUGUGUGAGAUCUGAAUUCAAUAUAGGAGCACAGCUCUACAUAUCUCCAUACCAUUUCACUAUAGAAACAUCAUUCAUUUUACAUACAAUCAUUUGUAUUAAUAUAUAAUAUGGCUCUUACCAUGAUCUGAGGAGAAAAAUAAACUUUAGUUAUUGAAUUUUUAUACGAACUGAAAUUACUUUAACUUGUGUCUUGAGCUAUUUUUGUGUUGAUUUAUUGUCUUGAUUCAUACUGUAAGAAAACCGCUGGAUAAUAUUUUGAGUAAACAAACUAGCAUUGAAGAGACAACCC